GAUUAUGGCUCAGGAUGAACGCUGGCGGCGCGCCUAACACAUGCAAGUCGAACGGUUAAAGCCCCUUCGGGGGUGCAUAAAGUGGCGAACGGCUGAGUAACACGUGGGCAACCUGCCCCCCGCUUCGGGAUAGCCUCGGGAAACCGUGGGUAAUACCGGAUACUCCGCCCACCCCGCAUGGGGAGGGCGGGAAAGCGCAUACGGCGGGGGAUGGGCCCGCGGCCUGUUAGCUCGUUGGCGGGGUAACGGCCCACCAAGGCUAUUAUGGGUAGCCGGGUUGAGAGACCGACCGGCCAGAUUGGGACUGAGACACGGCCCAGACUCCUACGGGAGGCAGCAGUGGGGAAUCUUGCACAAUGGGCGAAAGCCUGAUGCCAGCGACGCCGCGUGCGGGAUGAAGGCCCUCGGGUUGUAAACCGCUUUCAGCAGGGACGAGGCGCAAGUGACGGUACCUGCAGAAGAAGCCCCGGCUAACUACGUGCCAGCCGCGGC
RNAcentral lists this ribosomal RNA (492 nucleotides) under uncultured bacterium. Its description in RNAcentral is "bacterial SSU rRNA". It matches the Rfam family "Bacterial small subunit ribosomal RNA", at positions 15 to 518 of the family's 1533-position model. The record is from RNAcentral.